CAGUCGCCGCGGUAAUACGUAGGUGGCAAGCGUUGUCCGGAAUUAUUGGGCGUAAAGGGCUCGCAGGCGGUUUCUUAAGUCUGAUGUGAAAGCCCCCGGCUCAACCGGGGAGGGUCAUUGGAAACUGGGAAACUUGAGUGCAGAAGAGGAGAGUGGAAUUCCACGUGUAGCGGUGAAAUGCGUAGAGAUGUGGAGGAACACCAGUGGCGAAGGCGACUCUCUGGUCUGUAACUGACGCUGAGGAGCGAAAGCGUGGGGAGCGAACAGGAUUAGAUACCCGGGUAGUCCCUGUCUCUUAUAC
This 301-nucleotide ribosomal RNA is filed under the name uncultured bacterium. RNAcentral describes it as "partial 16S ribosomal RNA". It matches the Rfam family "Bacterial small subunit ribosomal RNA", at positions 509 to 807 of the family's 1533-position model. The record is from RNAcentral.